RNAcentral lists this long non-coding RNA (235 nucleotides) under Homo sapiens (human). Its description in RNAcentral is "non-protein coding lnc-DEPDC4-4:1". Lineage: Eukaryota; Metazoa; Chordata; Mammalia; Primates; Hominidae. The record is from RNAcentral.
AAGCCUACCUCGGGACACCUUGACUCCAAGCCCUAUCUCCAACGUACUGCAGGACCUCUCAGGCAUCUCUGCUGAGGAUACCCAUAUUGGCAACUACUGGCUCAUCACGACCAUCAACCAGGGUAACUUGGUCACCAUGCAGUUGGCCUGACACACCCUAACUAGGAAAGAGGUAGCUGUGCAGAUCAUUGAUAAGACAAAAUGGAACUCCUUCAGACUCCAGAGACUGUACAAG